Molecule: long non-coding RNA, 260 nt
Organism: Sinocyclocheilus grahami
Lineage: Eukaryota; Metazoa; Chordata; Actinopteri; Cypriniformes; Cyprinidae
Exons: 3
Source: RefSeq, a predicted model, not a curated record
GAAGACGUGGGCCAACAAACAUGAUACAGUUUGCUUUGAGGUCGGAUGCACUGUAAGUCUGUGAAUGGACUUGCUAACGCUGGCUCUCACUUCUGACGAACAAGGUGUGUGGACUUACGUUUGCUGGACAGAAGCUUCUCAAAAGACAGUUUCCACAGCAGACAUUCCUCCAAGGUCAACCUGCAAAGAUGCUGCUCAAGUCUUGUCUCUGCAGAAAUCCUCCUACGCAUGCCUUUAAUCUUUUGGCCCUGAUGUUAGAA